Molecule: long non-coding RNA, 1551 nt
Organism: Cucurbita moschata (crookneck pumpkin)
Lineage: Eukaryota; Viridiplantae; Streptophyta; Magnoliopsida; Cucurbitales; Cucurbitaceae
Exons: 2
Source: RefSeq, a predicted model, not a curated record
GCGCCAAUCACCCCCGGACACGCGUCGAGCGCCGCCUGGGAAAACGCGGCUCCAGCCUCCUUGCGGCACGCGUCCCUGGCAACGCCACCCGACCUGCGCCCGUCAGCUUACCCGAUACCCGCGCGGCAAACCAAACCAAAUCGAUGACCCGCGGUCCACCCGAGCCACUGCGUUCGUACUGAACCCGCGACUGCAGGAAAUUCUGGGCGCGUCACUCUCGCGCGUGGAACCCGCGAGUGGUUGCUCCCCGGCGCGUGGCUGGCGCGUGACCAAAUUGAGGGAAAAUCACCGCCUUUCGAUACGUUAAGUGUGUGGAAACGCUGCUUAAGGACACGCGCCAUCCAGGUAAGUCACCACACGGAUUUUUAGGAAGUAUUACUUGUAGGAACCGCUUGGAAUGCAUGCAUGCUAGUCUGAAUAUCUUAGGUUCUAGCUUUCCGUUAAUGAUCGUAGGAAAUAGUUUAUUGAACAUUAGAUGUAUUUUGUGAUUUGUUAUGAGAGUUACUUGGAUACUGCUGAUAUGAUUUUAGUUUCUGCUGAAUUUGCAUAUGUAUGUUUUCAUGCUGAAUGGAGGAUGGGAAAUUGCGAACUCUGCGCUCCGGGAGUUGAUGGAUGUUAUCACCCCGUUGAGCUUGUAUGAUCACUUUGCAUGAAAUGCCUUUGAGGAUUUUGGAUAAUAGUUAUAACAUACUCAGUUAAUUUUUCAUGACUCGCAAUUAUGAAUAAGUCUAGGGAUUCUUAGUUAGAGUAACUAGGUACUAAGGUAUUAGAUCUAAUCUUUUCCCUAGUAGAGCAACAGACCACCACGGUGUAUGAAGCCCACUAGGAUACCCUUAGGCUACAGGUGUGUGAUUGGUGUCAUAGCUUCGUGGGGGAAAAGGGGGUUCCUGAUCAGAAUCCGACUAUUCUUAGCCGUUUUAGCAUGGGAAACGUGUGCCCACGUCGUAUAGACCAUUUAGCUGGAUGGGUUAAGGGGGGUAGCUCUCCCCGACCAGGGGGACUGUCAUGGGCCUAGGGGGUUGCAGCUCACUUCCUAGGUAAGUUACCAGAUAGUCUCAGAGCCAUGCCGAGGUAGCUACUCGUAGGGCACCAGUCAUUACACAGGUUAGCUUAAGGGAGUUCUUAAGAAUCUUUAAAUGAAAGGACAAAGAACCAAGUUGUCGCGAGGGGUAAGUCCUAAGGUCCUAAGACGAAAACCAGAGGUCCUAGAGCUAUUGUAGGGUCCGUGGAGGGUGGUUGCUAAGAUUAGGAAGCGGUAAGAGCCUAUAAGUAGGUGGCUUACUGAGUAUAAAUUUUAUACUCAUUCCUGUUAUACUUUUUUUUUUCCAGGUACGUGACGCGUCGAGUCGAGAGAGGGCGCAUUAAUCGAUGUGGGUUGUCACAGAGGAGGCGUGACCCGGGGCGUCAGUCCAGUCUUACUAAAUAGAACACUUGUCCUUCACGUUUUGCUUUUUUUCCUUUUUUUUUCUUUUUUUUUUUACCUAGACACAUAUGUCCUUUUAGUAAAGAAACGUUUUUUUCACAAAAUAAAUGAAAUUCUAUUGUUGUAAA